CCUCGGCUACAUUAACAACUUCUCUUCCUUGUUGCGUUGAAGCAGGCAGGACGUGUUGAGCCUGGGAGACAAGAACAACAUGCGUGAAGCUUCAACAAAGGAUUUACAAACCAGGACUAAAGGAGUCUUGCUAAGGAUUGAAGAGCCUGGAAUGGAUGCAUGUUGAUCAGGUUGGUAUAGAAGAAGCUGAUGUCUACUGCUACAGCCCUGCAAACAUUUAACCUUUUACUGCAUGCACUUUCAUUUUGUAGGCUCAUUUGUGAUGUGUAUGUGCCCUCAUUAAUAUUCAUUUUGAUAUGUUAUAUAUAUAUAUAUAUAUACUAUUAGUUUAAGGGCAAAUUGAAAUUAGAACAUAUGUAAAGUCUUUUAUAAUCUCAAACUGUUUAGACUACAUCCAUACUUAAAAUGUUGUGUAUGAACUUGUAAAUAAAAGUAACAUCUCUUAUUAAAACUCUGUAUUGUCAUCUUUAUUUGCCUUAAAUGGAGUUCAUAUGUAGUUUGGUUUGAGGUAUUAGUCAAAGGAAUUGAACAGGGAGACCUUAUUGAAUGAAUGGUAAACUGUCUACCGACCCAUCAAUGAAAACGGUUGAGGAAACAUUGUAAAAG
Molecule: long non-coding RNA, 606 nt
Organism: Trematomus bernacchii (emerald rockcod)
Lineage: Eukaryota; Metazoa; Chordata; Actinopteri; Perciformes; Nototheniidae
Exons: 3
Source: RefSeq, a predicted model, not a curated record